CCGGCGACCGGCGCACGGGUGAGUAACACGUAUGCAACCUGCCCUCUUCAGGGGGACAACCUUCCGAAAGGGAAGCUAAUCCCGCGUAUAUCGGUUUCGGGCAUCCGAGAUCGAGGAAAGAUUCAUCGGAAGAGGAUGGGCAUGCGGCGCAUUAGCUAGACGGCGGGGUAACGGCCCACCGUGGCGACGAUGCGUAGGGGUUCUGAGAGGAAGGUCCCCCACACUGGUACUGAGACACGGACCAAACUCCUACGGGAGGCAGCAG
This 265-nucleotide ribosomal RNA is filed under the name uncultured bacterium. RNAcentral's name for it is "partial 16S ribosomal RNA". It matches the Rfam family "Bacterial small subunit ribosomal RNA", at positions 88 to 354 of the family's 1533-position model. The record is from RNAcentral.